CUAAAUUUAAAGCUUCUUGUGCAUUUGUAUUUAAUAAUAAAAUUUAUUAUUUUCUAAGAGCCUUGUGGGCUUGUGAUUGGAGAAAAAGAGGAUGGACUCCUGGAUUUCCAGGUGCCAAAGGUGAGAUGGGCGUCAUGGGAGCCCCUGGGCCUCCAGGCCCCCCAGGAACUCCUGGAAGAAAUGGCCUUCCUGGCUCAAAAGAGAACAGAAGCAAAACAGAUCGAUCAACUCAAGCUAUUGCUUAUGAUGAUUCAUCCAGCCACACAAGCUUAUUUUUCUUUAGCUGA
This 287-nucleotide long non-coding RNA is filed under the name Anas platyrhynchos platyrhynchos (common mallard). RNAcentral describes it as "lncRNA (ENSAPLG00000016963.1)". The record is from RNAcentral. Lineage: Eukaryota; Metazoa; Chordata; Aves; Anseriformes; Anatidae.